Molecule: ribosomal RNA, 253 nt
Filed under: uncultured bacterium
Lineage: Bacteria
Description: partial 16S ribosomal RNA
Rfam family: Bacterial small subunit ribosomal RNA
Source: RNAcentral
UACGGAGGGGGCUAGCGUUGUUCGGAAUUACUGGGCGUAAAGCGCACGUAGGCGGCGAUUUAAGUCAGAGGUGAAAGCCCGGAGCUCAACUCCGGAACUGCCUUUGAGACUGGAUUGCUAGAAUCUUGGAGAGGCGAGUGGAAUUCCGAGUGUAGAGGUGAAAUUCGUAGAUAUUCGCAAGAACACCAGUGGCGAAGGCGGCUCACUGGCCCGAUACUGACGCUGAGGCACGAAAGCGUGGGGAGCAAACAGG